Molecule: ribosomal RNA, 800 nt
Filed under: uncultured Bacillota bacterium
Lineage: Bacteria; Bacillati; Bacillota
Description: bacterial SSU rRNA
Rfam family: Bacterial small subunit ribosomal RNA
Source: RNAcentral
UUCUUCGGAACCAAUCUAGCGGCGGACGGGUGAGUAACGCGUGGGCAACCUACCUUAUAGAGGGGAAUACCCUUCCGAAAGGAAGAUUAAUACCGCAUAACAUUGCGGUUUCGCAUGAAGGACAAUUAAAGGAGAAAUCCGCUAUAAGAUGGGCCCGCGGCGCAUUAGCUAGUUGGUGAGGUAAAGGCUCACCAAGGCGACGAUGCGUAGCCGACCUGACAGGGUGAUCGGCCACAUUGGGACUGAGACACGGCCCAGACUCCUAGGGAGGCAGGGUGGGGAAUAUUGCACAAUGGGGGAAACCCUGAUGCUGCAACGCCCCGUGAGUGAUGAAGGUUUUCGGAUCCUAAAACUCUGUCUUUGGGGACCAUAAUGACGGUACCCCCGGAGGAAGCCACGGCUAACUACGUGCCAGCACCCGCGGUAAUACGUAGGUGGCAAGCGUUGUCCGGAUUUACUGGGCGUAAAGGGAGCGUACGUGGAUUUUUAAGUGAGGUGUGAAAUACUCGGGCUCAACCCGAGAACUGCAUUUCUCACUGGAAAUCUAGAGUGCAGGACUGGAAAGUGGAAUUCCUAGUGUAGCGGUGAGAUGCGUACAUGUUACGAAGAACACCAUUGGCGACGCAACUUUCUGGACUGUAACUGACACUGAGGCUCGCUGGCGUGACGAGCAUGCACGAUUAGAUACCCUGCUAGUCCACGCCGUACCGAUGAAUACUACGUGUGAGAGUUGUCAUGACUUCCGUGCCACCGCUGCUGCAUUAAGUAUUCCGCCUGGCGAGUACGGUCGCAGAUUAAAA